UGGGGAAUAUUGCACAAUGGGCGAAAGCCUGAUGCAGCGACGCCGCGUGGGGGUUGACGGCCUUCGGGUUGUAAACCUCUUUCAGCAAGGAAGAAGCGAAAGUGACGGUACUUGCAGAAGAAGCGCCGGCUAACUACGUGCCAGCAGCCGCGGUAAUACGUAGGGCGCAAGCGUUGUCCGGAAUUAUUGGGCGUAAAGAGCUUGUAGGUGGCUUGUCGCGUCUGCCGUGAAAACCCGAGGCUUAACCUUGGGCGUGCGGUGGGUACGGGCAGGCUAGAGUGCGGUAGGGGAGACUGGAAUUCCUGGUGUAGCGGUGAAAUGCGCAGAUAUCAGGAGGAACACCGAUGGCGGAGGCAGAUCUCUGGGCCGUUACUAACACUGAGAAGCGAAAGCAUGGGGAGCGAACAGG
Molecule: ribosomal RNA, 409 nt
Filed under: Actinomycetes bacterium
Lineage: Bacteria; Bacillati; Actinomycetota; Actinomycetes
Description: Actinobacteria bacterium partial 16S ribosomal RNA
Rfam family: Bacterial small subunit ribosomal RNA
Source: RNAcentral